AGUGGGAUAGCUGGGUCAAAUGGUGGUUCUAUGAGGAAUCUCCAUACUGCUUUCCAGAGUGGUUGCACUAAUUUGCAGUCCCACCAGCAAU
Molecule: microRNA precursor, 91 nt
Filed under: Marmota monax (woodchuck)
Lineage: Eukaryota; Metazoa; Chordata; Mammalia; Rodentia; Sciuridae
Source: RNAcentral